RNAcentral lists this ribosomal RNA (301 nucleotides) under uncultured bacterium. RNAcentral's name for it is "partial 16S ribosomal RNA". It matches the Rfam family "Bacterial small subunit ribosomal RNA", at positions 509 to 807 of the family's 1533-position model. The record is from RNAcentral.
CAGCCGCCGCGGUAAUACGAAGGGGGCUAGCGUUGUUCGGAUUUACUGGGCGUAAAGGGUGCGUAGGCGGAUUGUUAAGUCAGGGGUGAAAUGCCGGGGCUCAACCUCGGAACUGCCUUUGAUACUGGCGAUCUUGAGUCCGGGAGAGGUGAGUGGAACUGCGAGCGUAGAGGUGAAAUUCGUAGAUAUUCGCAAGAACAUCAGUGGCGAAGGCGGCUCACUGGCCCGGAACUGACGCUGAGGCACGACAGCGUGGGGAGCAAACAGGAUUAGAUACCCGCGUAGUCCCUGUCUCUUAUAC